This is a long non-coding RNA of Austrofundulus limnaeus, 468 nucleotides long. RefSeq lists it as uncharacterized. The record is from RefSeq and is a predicted model, not a curated record. NCBI's taxonomy places the organism in Eukaryota, Metazoa, Chordata, Actinopteri, Cyprinodontiformes, Rivulidae. The transcript has 3 exons.
UUUGUUGUAAUAAUAAUAAAAAAGCAGCAACAUUAUACAAUGUUGGUUUUGUAAAACAGCAACUUAUGACACAAUUUAGGACCAGGAAAGUAUGUUUUCUUAAGAACCGGAGUGAAUAGAGAGACAACGUUUCAGCCUGUUACACAGGUUACACAGACAUGGGCAAAAGCAUUACCUCCUUCACCUUCAGCGGCAGAAAGGACUCUGCAUGUAUCAUCACUGUCUGAGCAACUUCAGGAUUACUGGUUUUAGUGGCAGUAUGGUUACAGGUGUGUACAUGUAUCUCUUGUUAGCUUUUCUUCAACAAGCUGGGAGAGACUUUUCUCAGUCUGCCCACCCUCUUUUCAGAAGCUUCUUUUUAUUCUGUGCACAUCCUUAGAUAAGGAAAACUCUCAAAUCAAAAAUAACUAAAUUGCUUGUUUUGUGUAUUUCUAACAGGGUUCCCACACCUUGGUCAACAUCAAAUUC